GGCUAUUGGGCUGGAAUCGGGUUUGUCGUAUUGGGUCAGAUUAGGUUUGGACUAUACCGGGUUUAGGACUGUAUUUUGGGUUAGAUUUUAUUGGGCUAGUUUUUAGUUUGGGCCAUAUUGAGCCCAGUGUAAAUGGACAUUUAAAAUGGACUAUUUUUAUUGGUUUUUAUUUUUUGUUUAUUUAUUUCUGAUUUGGGCCAGGUAAAUUUGGGCCAUUACAGGAGGGAGAAACAAAGGGUUUUGAUUGGGUUGUAGAGAAGUCAAGAAUUCAACAGAGAGUGGAGGAGGAGCCCUUUGGCCUUUGGAUGUUGGUGAAACGGUGGAAGGGAAGAGGUCAUUUCAC
Molecule: long non-coding RNA, 343 nt
Filed under: Gossypium raimondii (Peruvian cotton)
Lineage: Eukaryota; Viridiplantae; Streptophyta; Magnoliopsida; Malvales; Malvaceae
Description: long non-coding RNA (GRAI_LNC008462)
Source: RNAcentral